Molecule: long non-coding RNA, 6959 nt
Filed under: Monomorium pharaonis (pharaoh ant)
Lineage: Eukaryota; Metazoa; Arthropoda; Insecta; Hymenoptera; Formicidae
Description: uncharacterized LOC118646260, transcript variant X3
Source: RNAcentral
UCAUGAUACAGGUCAGCUCGUCAUCAGCUGUCAGCUGAUCAGCGCUCAGCGGGUGGAGGCGUGCAGAAGUGCGAGAUGCUGUUACUGAAAUGCGUGUGCAUGAGAAAAAUCUCACAAGGAUGAGAAGAUCUCGAAGUUUCUUUCGCAACUCGCAAAGCUCGGGAUCUACAUAUCUAAGAGUCCAUCCAGAUCUCAGAUAACGUUCCCGGUCACCGUCUUUGUGAGCUCAAAGUACUUAAUGCAUACCAAAUUGUAGAGGCAGUUUUGGACGAGGUGGUGGUGGAAGUGAAAGAGGCAGAGAUUGCGGCAGUGGCGGUGCGAGACGCGACGGGAAAUUAAUUGGCACCACCAUAAAAAUAACAGGUGGCCCAUACAAGGGAAAUGUGGGUAUUGUAAAAGACGCGACAGAGACAACAGCGCACAUGGAACUGCACUCCCCGUGCCAGACAAUCUCCAUCGAUCAAUCUCAAAUAGCAAACGUUGGCGUUCUGACAAAGCAUAGUGGCUUCAACAGUUACAAUAGUACUCUGGCUACGGAAGCCGGUGGACAAACGCCGAUGUAUGCGAGAGACGGAUCAAAAACAUCUAUUUUUAUUUCAAUGUUACGGACGGUUCUUGCACUCCUCAUUAUGGUUCAAUGACGCCGUCUCACGAUAGAUUGCGAACACCAGGACAAUUUGAGCCUAGGAUCCGACGGUGUUAUUACUAACACACUCGCCAGAACGAAUGAUUUUGACAGUUACAGUAUAGAAGAUGGUGGCCCGCCCGGUUACAAUCCAAGAUAUCUUUCUACCUGGAGAACCGUUUACUCCACAGACUCCAGGAGAGCGAAUAGCCCACACAAUCCGCCAACACCUUCAGGAAUGAAUAUAUUGAUUCUGGUAUCAUUGGUAGUUCAAAUUAGCAUACGACGGAUAUUGAAGUACGUAUUCGUGACUCACAUGAUUAUUCUGCGCCCACUGGAUAACAAGCAGUUAUUCGAGGAAUUUUAGUAAGUGAUUGGUCGUAUGUGCACCGUUUAUCUACGUAUCGAAGAUCGAGUUGUAAACCUAAUAUGUAAUCAACUGGAGCCUGUGGUACCGUCACGUGGCGAUCGAGUUAAAGUGAUUCUAGGUGAAGACCGUGAAGCUGUCGGCACUUUACUUUCGAUCGACAAUCAAGAGGGAGUAGUAAAACUAAACACGGACGAGAUAAAAUUCUUGCAAUUGCGAUUUUUGUGUGAAAUGAGCACAAAAGCACCAAGCGCUGAAUUUUCUAAUAAUUAGAAAUAAAUUUUACAAAACGUACCGACGUAAGUGAUAAAGAUAUAUCAUUAUCACUAGCUAUUGUUCUCUUGUUUCAUAUAUUACACGAUACAAUUUGUAAUAAUAGUUCCCCAAAAAAGAAAGUAUUGUAUUUGACUUUUAGUUAUAACUAUUACCAUUGUAAAUCAAAUAUUAAUACAGUAAUUUUAAAAUUGUAUGGAUUUAUGGUACAUGUAAUAUCAUAUAUUGUUAUGAAAUUAUUUCUGUGUGAUUAAAUGAAUAUAUUUAAUCUACUUACAUGGUUAUAUCUUAUGUAAUUGUGUUAUUCUUUCUAAUAUUCUUUCCCACUUUAUUUCUAUUACAUGUUAUUAGAUGCUUCUCACUUUUUUAUGCAACAUUUUUCGACUAUGUACACAUACAUGUACAAUUUUUAUAAAUUUAUAUCUAUAAAGUGAGAAAGAAGAGUCUUGUUUGAAGUUACGGUUUUAUAAAUAUGAAUUAAGUAAUACGUAUGAUAAAAAUAUAAUACUUGUAAUGGAAUGAUACCCAUGAUUCCUGCCCAUUAACCCUGGGCAGAUGAUAGUUCUUUGGGUCAGGAAGUUCCUAGGAUCUUAAAUAGUAGAAUUACAUUUCCUUCAGAUUUAAAAUGUAAUUCAAUUAUCAAGCAAAGAAAACUAAAAAAAAAUGUCUGGGUCAGUCUUUUUUUUUUGUAAUCAUCGUUAUCAGUAUGUCGACUCUUUGUGAUUAAUCAUCAUUCCCAGCAAUGACGUGGACCUACAAUUUAACGCCGAUUCCGAACGGCAAGGGCAAGAUACUCUCGGUGGUUUGCCCACUUCCUUCCGAGAGGUAGCGAUUGAAAAAUCCGAUCUUUUUUUUUUCUGACCAGAUUCGAAACCAAAUUCUUUCGCAAUCUUGGCACAAAGAACAAGUACACAGUACUCUACGCCAAACAACAGCUACGUGAUUCAUAUGACUAAAUUAAGGGUUACUUUAGACUUCCUCGAGAAGAGUAAACAAACAAGUUCGAUUUUGUUAAUCAAAAGAUUUCUUUAUACAAAAAUAAUUACGUGCGAUUUUGUAAAUCAAUAAUUCACAGCAAUUAAAUUAAAAAAAAAUUAAUAUUUAUAAUUCUAUAAAAGAAUAAAUUUGUUUAAAAAAAAAAUGGAGAACGAUUUCUUUUAUUUUAUUGAAGACGUUGGAGGAAGAUAACUUAUAUUCGUCAUCAACUCUCACUCUUCUCAAUAUCGUUCCCAACGUGUCUCGAGAUAGUACAAAUCAUACUGAAAAUCACAAAGAGCCGACAUUCUAGCACUACUCAGACGAUUACAGUAAUUUAAUUCCACGUAUAUAUACUACAAGGUAUAUAAAACAGCACUUGUGAGAAAGCUAUUAGAAGACUCUAACACACCCUCUAGUGGCCUUUGAGUAAUUUACUGGACGACAAAGCGAUCAAAAGCGAUGGCCGAUACAGAGGUCAUGAUGUAAUAAGAAAGGUCAGCUCGUCAUCAGCUGUCAGCUGAUCAGCGCUCAGCGGGUGGAGGCGUGCAGAAGUGCGAGAUGCUGUUACUGAAAUGCGUGUGCAUGAGAAAAAUCUCACAAGGAUGAGAAGAUCUCGAAGUUUCUUUCGCAACUCGCAAAGCUCGGGAUCUACAUAUCUAAGAGUCCAUCCAGAUCUCAGAUAACGUUCCCGGUCACCGUCUUUGUGAGCUCAAAGUACUUAAUGCAUACCAAAUUGUAGAGGCAGUUUUGGACGAGGUGGUGGUGGAAGUGAAAGAGGCAGAGAUUGCGGCAGUGGCGGUGCGAGACGCGACGGGAAAUUAAUUGGCACCACCAUAAAAAUAACAGGUGCCCCAUACAAGGGAAAUGUGGGUAUUGUAAAAGACGCGACAGAGACAACAGCGCACAUGGAACUGCACUCCCCGUGCCAGACAAUCUCCAUUGAUCAAUCUCAAAUAGCAAACGUUGGCGUUCUGACAAAGCAUAGUGGCUUCAACAGUUACAAUAGUACUCUGGCUACGGAAGCCGGUGGACAAACGCCGAUGUAUGCGAGAGACGGAUCAAAAACAUCUAUUUUUAUUUCAAUGUUACGGACGGUCCUUGCACUCCUCAUUAUGGUUCAAUGACGCCGUCUCACGAUAGAUUGCGAACACCAGGACAAUUUGGAGCCUAGGAUCCGACGGUGUUAUUACUAACACACUCGCCAGAACGAAUGAUUUUGACAGUUACAGUAUAGAAGAUGGUGGCUCGCCCGGUUACAAUCCAAGAUAUCUUUCUACCUGGAGAACCGUUUACUCCACAGACUCCAGGAGAGCGAAUAGCCCACACAAUCCGCCAACACCUUCAGGAAUGAAUAUAUUGAUUCUGGUAUCAUUGGUAGUUCAAAUUGGCAUACGACGGAUAUUGAAGUACGUAUUCGUGACUCACAUGAUUAUUCUGCGCUCACUGGAUAACAAGCAGUUAUUCGAGGAAUUUUAGGUCGUAUGUGCACCGUUUAUCUACCUAUCGAAGAUCGAGUUGUAAACCUAAUAUGUAAUCAACUGGAGCCUGUGGUACCGUCACGUGGCGAUCGAGUUAAAGUGAUUCUAGGUGAAGACUGUGAAGCUGUCGGCACUUUACUUUCGAUCGACAAUCAAGAGGGAGUAGUAAAACUAAACACGGACGAGAUAAAAUUCUUGCAAUUGCGAUUUUUGUGUAAAAUGAGCACAAAAGCACCAAGCGCUGAAUUUUCUAAUAAUUAGAAAUAAAUUUUACAAAACGUACCGACGUAAGUGAUAAAGAUAUAUCAUUAUCACUAGCUAUUGUUCUCUUGUUUCAUGUAUUACACGAUACAAUUUGUAAUAAUAGUUCCUCAAAAAAGAAAGUAUUGUAUUUGACUUUUAGUUAUAACUAUUACCAUUGUAAAUCAAAUAUUAAUACAGUAAUUUUAAAAUUGUAUGGAUUUAUGGUACAUGUAAUAUCAUAUAUUGUUAUGAAAUUAUUUCUGUGUGAUUAAAUGAAUAUAUUUAAUCUACUUACAUGGUUAUAUCUUGUGUAAUUGUGUUAUCUCUCCCAUAUUCUUUCUCAUUUUAUUUCUAUCACAUGUUAUUAGAUGCUUCUCAUUUUUUAUGCAACAUUUUUCGACUAUGUACACAUACAUGUACAAUUUUUAUAAAUUUAUAUCUAUAAAGUGAGAAAGAAGAGUCUUGUUUGAAGUUACAGUUUUAUGAAUAUGAAUUAAGUAAUACGUAUGAUAAAAAUAUAAUACUUGUAAUGGAAUGAUACCCAUGAUUCCUGCCCAUUAACCCUGGGCAGAUGAUAGUUCUUUGGGUCAGGAAGUUCCUAGGAUCUUAAAUAGUAGAAUUACAUUUCCUUCAGAUUUAAAAUGUAAUUCAAUUAUCAAGCAAAGAAAACUAAAAAAAAAUGUCUGGGUCAGUCUUUUUGUUGUAAUCAUCGUUAUCAGUAUGUGAGCUCUUCACUAUUAAUCAUCAUUCCCAGCAAUGACGUGGACCUACAAUUUAACGCCGAUUCCGAACGGCAAGGGCAAGAUACUCCCGGUGGUUUGCCCACUUCCUUCCGAGAGGUAGCGAUUGAAAAAUCCGAUCUUUUUUUUUUCUGACCAGAUUCGAAACCAAAUUCUUUCGCAAUCUUGGCACAAAGAGCAAGUACACAGUACUCUACGCCAAACAACAGCUACGUGAUUCAUAUGACUAAAUUAAGGGUUACUUUAGACUUCCUCGAGAAGAGUAAACAAACAAGUUCGAUUUUGUUAAUCAAAAGAUUUGUUUAUACAAAAAUAAUUACGUGCAAUUUUGUAAAUCAAUAAUUCACAGCAAUUAAAUAAAAAAAAGUUUUAGCAUUUAUAAUUCUAUAAAAGAAUAAUUUCGUUAAAAAAAAAUGGAGAACGAUUUUUUUUAUUUCAUUGAAGACGUUGGAAGAUAAACUUAUAUUCGUUAUCAACUCUCACUCUUCUCAAUAUCGUUCCCAACGUGUCUUGAGAUAGUACAAAUCAUACUGAAAAUCGCGAAGAGCUCACAUUCUAGCACUACUCAGACGAUUACAAUAAUUUAAUUCCACGUAUAUAUACUACAAUGUAUAUAAAACAGCACUUGCGAGAAAGCUAUUGGAAGACUCUAACACACCCUCUAGUGGCCUUUGAGUAAUUUACUGGACGACAAAGCGAUCAAAAGCGAUGGCCGAUACAGAGGUCAUGAUGUAAUAAGAAAGGUCAGCUCGUCAUCAGCUGUCAGCUGAUCAGCGUUCAGCGGGUGGAGGCGUGCAGAAGUGCGAGAUGCUGUUACUGAAAUGCGUGUGCAUGAGAAAAAUCUCACAAGGAUGAGAAGAUCUCGAAGUCUCUUUCGCAACUCGCAAAGCUCGGGAUCUACAUAUCUAAGAGUCCAUCCAGAUCUCAGAUAACGUUCCCGGUCACCGUCUUUGUGAGCUCAAAGUACUUAAUGCAUACCAAAUUAGGCAGUUUUGGACGAGGUGGUGGUGGAAGUGAAAGAGGCAGAGAUUGCGGCAGUGGCGGUGCGAGACGCGACGGGAAAUUAAUUGGCACCACCAUAAAAAUAACAGGUGGCCCAUACAAGGGAAAUGUGGGUAUUGUAAAAGACGCGACAGAGACAACAGCGCACAUGGAACUGCACUCCCCGUGCCAGACAAUCUCCAUCGAUCAAUCUCAAAUAGCAAACGUUGGCGUUCUGACAAAGCAUAGUGGCUUCAACAGUUACAAUAGUACUCUGGCUACGGAAGCCGGUGGACAAACGCCGAUGUAUGCGAGAGACGGAUCAAAAACAUCUAUUUUUAUUUCAAUGUUACGGACGGUUCUUGCACUCCUCAUUAUGGUUCAAUGACGCCGUCUCACGAUAGAUUGCGAACACCAGGACAAUUUGAGCCUAGGAUCCGACGGUGUUAUUACUAACACACUCGCCAGAACGAAUGAUUUUGACAGUUACAGUAUAGAAGAUGGUGGCCCGCCCGGUUACAAUCCAAGAUAUCUUUCUACCUGGAGAACCGUUUACUCCACAGACUCCAGGAGAGCGAAUAGCCCACACAAUCCGCCAACACCUUCAGGAAUGAAUAUAUUGAUUCUGGUAUCAUUGGUAGUUCAAAUUAGCAUACGACGGAUAUUGAAGUACGUAUUCGUGACUCACAUGAUUAUUCUGCGCCCACUGGAUAACAAGCAGUUAUUCGAGGAAUUUUAGGUCGUAUGUGCACCGUUUAUCUACGUAUCGAAGAUCGAGUUGUAAACCUAAUAUGUAAUCAACUGGAGCCUGUGGUACCGUCACGUGGCGAUCGAGUUAAAGUGAUUCUAGGUGAAGACCGUGAAGCUGUCGGCACUUUACUUUCGAUCGACAAUCAAGAGGGAGUAGUAAAACUAAACACGGACGAGAUAAAAUUCUUGCAAUUGCGAUUUUUGUGUGAAAUGAGCACAAAAGCACCAAGCGCUGAAUUUUCUAAUAAUUAGAAAUAAAUUUUACAAAACGUACCGACGUAAGUGAUAAAGAUAUAUCAUUAUCACUAGCUAUUGUUCUCUUGUUUCAUAUAUUACACGAUACAAUUUGUAAUAAUAGUUCCCCAAAAAAGAAAGUAUUGUAUUUGACUUUUAGUUAUAACUAUUACCAUUGUAAAUCAAAUAUUAAUACAGUAAUUUUAAAAUUGUAUGGAUUUAUGGUACAUGUAAUAUCAUAUAUUGUUAUGAAAUUAUUUCUGUGUGAUUAAAUGAAUAUAUUUAAUCUA